RNAcentral lists this ribosomal RNA (763 nucleotides) under uncultured bacterium. RNAcentral describes it as "bacterial SSU rRNA". It matches the Rfam family "Bacterial small subunit ribosomal RNA", at positions 8 to 796 of the family's 1533-position model. The record is from RNAcentral.
AGAGUUUGAUCAUGGCUCAGGGUAAACGCUGGCGGCGUGCCUAAAACAUGCAAGUCGAACGCGUACCUUCGGGUGCGAGUGGCAGACGGCUGAGUAACGCGUGGGUGACGUACCUGUUGGUGGGGAAUAACUGCCCGAAAGGGUGGCUAAUUCCGCAUAAGUCCUUUACUUCGAUGUGAAGGGGAAAGCUUCGCAAGAGGCGCCGAUGGAGCGGCCCGCGUCCGAUUAGCUCGUUGGUGGGGUAACGGCCUACCAAGGCGACGAUCGGUAGCUGGUCUUAGAGGAUGAUCAGCCAGACUGGGACUGAGACACGGCCCAGACUCCUACGGGAGGCAGCAGUUAGGAAUUUUGGGCAAUGGGCGCAAGCCUGACCCAGCAACGCCGCGUGGGUGACGAAGGCCUUCGGGUUGUAAAGCCCUUUUCUGAGGGAAGAUGAUGACGGUACCUCAGGAAGAAGCACCGGCUAACUACGUGCCAGCAGCCGCGGUAAUACGUAGGGUGCGAGCGUUGCCCGGAUUUAUUGGGCGUAAAGGGCGCGCAGGCGGCUACGCACGUCCGUUGUGAAAUCGCUCGGCUCAACUGGGCGGGGUCAGCGGAUACGGCGUGGCUUGAGCAAGCUAGGGGGCAAUGGAAUUCCCGGUGUAGUGGUGGAAUGCGUAGAUAUCGGGAGGAACACCAGUGGCGAAGGCGGUUGCCUGGAGCUUUGCUGACGCUGAGGCGCGAAAGCGUGGGGAGCGAUCCGGAUUAGAUACCCUAGUAGUCC